CAAGGAAUUUUCGUCAAUGGGCGCAAGCCUGAACGAGCAACGCCGCGUGGUGGAUGACGGCCUUCGGGUUGUAAACACCUUUUGGGGAGGACGAUGAUGACGGUACUCUCCGAAUCAGUCCCGGCUAACUCUGUGCCAGCAGCCGCGGUAAGACAGAGGGGGCCAGCGUUGUCCGGAAUUACUGGGCGUACAGCGCACGCAGGUGGCACGGCAAGUGUGGUGUGAAAGCCUCGGGCUUAACCCGGGGAGGCCAGCACAGACUGCCGCGCUCGAGUCACGCAGAGGAUGGUGGAAUUGCCGGUGUAGUGGUGAAAUGCGUAGAGAUCGGCAGGAACACCAAGGCCGAAGGGAGCCAUCUGGGCGUGUACUGACACUCAUGUGCGACCGCGUGGGGAGCCAAC
Molecule: ribosomal RNA, 401 nt
Filed under: uncultured bacterium
Lineage: Bacteria
Description: bacterial SSU rRNA
Rfam family: Bacterial small subunit ribosomal RNA
Source: RNAcentral